CGAACGAAACACCUUAUUUGAUUUUCUUCGGAACUGAAGAUUUGGUGAUUGAGUGGCGGACGGGUGAGUAACGCGUGGGUAACCUACCCUGUACAGGGGGAUAACAGUCAGAAAUGACUGCUAAUACCGCAUAAGACCACAGCACCGCAUGGUGCAGGGGUAAAAACUCCGGUGGUACAGGAUGGACCCGCGUCUGAUUAGCUGGUUGGUGAGGUAACGGCUCACCAAGGCGACGAUCAGUAGCCGGCUUGAGAGAGUGAACGGCCACAUUGGGACUGAGACACGGCCCAAACUCCUACGGGAGGCAGCAGUGGGGAAUAUUGCACAAUGGGGGAAACCCUGAUGCAGCGACGCCGCGUGAGUGAAGAAGUAUCUCGGUAUGUAAAGCUCUAUCAGCAGGGAAGAAAAUGACGGUACCUGACUAAGAAGCCCCGGCUAACUACGUGCCAGCAGCCGCGGUAAUACGUAGGGGGCAAGCGUUAUCCGGAAUUACUGGGUGUAAAGGGUGCGUAGGUGGUAUGGCAAGUCAGAAGUGAAAACCCAGGGCUUAACUCUGGGACUGCUUUUGAAACUGUCAGACUGGAGUGCAGGAGAGGUAAGCGGAAUUCCUAGUGUAGCGGUGAAAUGCGUAGAUAUUAGGAGGAACAUCAGUGGCGAAGGCGGCUUACUGGACUG
This 675-nucleotide ribosomal RNA is filed under the name uncultured Lachnospiraceae bacterium. Its description in RNAcentral is "bacterial SSU rRNA". It matches the Rfam family "Bacterial small subunit ribosomal RNA", at positions 63 to 736 of the family's 1533-position model. The record is from RNAcentral. Lineage: Bacteria; Bacillati; Bacillota; Clostridia; Lachnospirales; Lachnospiraceae.